AUUUUACUGCCACCGGGUAGUUGUAAUUACAAGCAUUCAUUUACACGUCGUUAGGUCUUAGAAGAUGUGUAAUAUGAAUGCUUUUUUAUU
RNAcentral lists this non-coding RNA (90 nucleotides) under unclassified sequences. The record is from RNAcentral.